UACGUAGGGGGCAAGCGUUGUCCGGAAUCAUUGGGCGUAAAGCGCGCGUAGGCGGCCAGAUAAGUCCGGUGUGAAAGUCACAGGCUCAACCUGUGAAUGCCGCUGGAAACUGUCUGGCUUGAGUCCGGAAGGGGCGAGUGGAAUUCCUGGUGUAGCGGUGAAAUGCGCAGAUAUCAGGAGGAACACCUGCGGCGAAGGCGGGUUGCUGGGCUGAUACUGACGCUGAGGCGCGAAAGCUAGGGGGAGCGAACGGG
RNAcentral lists this ribosomal RNA (254 nucleotides) under uncultured bacterium. Its description in RNAcentral is "partial 16S ribosomal RNA". It matches the Rfam family "Bacterial small subunit ribosomal RNA", at positions 524 to 776 of the family's 1533-position model. The record is from RNAcentral.